CUUGAAUGUAAAUCAUCAAUCUAGAGGCUGCAAGCUCACACAUCAAAUAUAUUGAGCAAACAAUUUUAAAGGCGUUUUCUAGUAACUUAUUUUCUUAUUUGAAAUCAUAAUGGGUACUUAUGGCUUGUGCAGGCUUAAGGAUGCAGCGUAUCAUCACUAUUAUUAUGGAGAAAAAGGUUACCAUCUCAGGCUUGGGAUUUAAGAUAGAAGGAGCGGUGAACAAGAGCUGGAAGGAAAAGGAUGCUGUUCUUGAUAUUGUCAGUGGAGAAGUCCAGUCUGGGGCCAAAACCACAAAAGUGAAGCCUUACAAAACCAGAAAACCAAGCAGAAAGAUCUUCAGCUGAUAAUGCCCUCUUUCCUCAGUAUGCAGACAGCAUUUUCCUUGAUAGAUGUAUGCAUUCCUGUGGAAAAGACUCCACCAUUCUGCUGACAUCUGAUGCUUGACAGGCUCUGGACAGAUGGAAAAAAUUGAGGAAUCAAACCAGAACAAGUUGCACUGGGACUAUUAUGUGCAAAGAAGCAAGCUCUGCACUGAGAAGGUAACAAAGGAGCAGGCCAAAUACUAGAAGGUAUUUUCUUCCGAGAGCUGAUGCAACCAUGCCAGAGCCUUGCACGAGGAAAUGAGGAACUGUGGGUGUGCUUUUCAUGGGCCACGAGAGGAGGUGAAGCAACCUGCUUUGAAGAGUGGAAAGGAGCGCUUUGCCUAGUUUGGAAGACUGGUGACAUGAAAGGGCGGAGGGUUAAAAAGACUCUCAGCAUGAUUUUACCAUCAGCACAGCUGACUUCAGUUCUUCAGAAGGGCAAGUACAAUGAAAUCUGAAUUAAGAUCUCUAAUUAAGCAGGCACACCAUUUUGGAGAUGCUCGUUGUGGCCAGUGGUGGUGAUGUUCAGCCUUGUAACAGUCUCCUCUCUUUGAAGCGCGCUCAGUGAAGGGCAUGUUGUAAUCUAAGAUUUGUUAGCAGAAAGAGGAAUAUUCAUUAGAAUCAGCUUGACUGUGACCUAUGCUUUGUAUUUCUUUUCAUAAAACGUUUCAUUGUUGAUGAGAUUUCAGUAAUUUAUGGUAAUGUGAUUUGUGAAGUGAUUGGAAAGUAAAGAAAUUUGUGGCUGUGUCUGAAUGACUGAGCUCAAUCUCAUGAUCAAGUACUGUGAAUGUCUGAACUUUGGAUCUUAUUGUGUCAGGCCCAUCCAGGCAGCAGGUAAUUUUCUAAUGUUAAUAAUCCACUUCCUUUCCUAUUUACAGUGUAAAUUGCUGACACAUCUUCCUGAAGGUCUUUUAAGAGAGGAAAAUAUUAGUGAUAUACAAAGUAUUAUAAAAUAAUGACCCUCCCAAGCAAAGGAAGGGGGUGGAGGGGGAACACACUACAAGGUUAUUGCCAAGUAGAGGCUACAUUGAGGCUGCAUUGCUGUGAAAUGGUGCUGCCUUCUGUGUGUGCUUGGAUAUCCCCUGAACACGGGGAGAGGAAGAGAAGACAGGGAAGGUGAGCUUUGGGGACAGUGUGAUCUGUCGGUUAUACCAGAAUUGGCCCUUGAUUAGAAGAGAAGGAAUGCACUUCUUGAGGAUGUCACAGCUCGCUGCUUGUGGAAUGAAGUGGCAAGGACUGUUUGUGUGAAUGCCUUUCAUGUGACCAGCAUACAGUGGAGGUGGUGCUGGUGGGGCACUGAGCCAGAGCUGUGAGAAUGGUUCCUAUGCUUUGCAAGAGGCCCAUGGCAUGAUUUCACCUUCCCUGCAGCACUCACCAUCAGUCUUGACAUAGUGCAUGCUUUCAAUUAAUUAUUUUUAUUUUUCUUUGCUCAAAUACAGUAUUUAGCAUUUGCUUGUAUUUCAAACACUGAAUGAACUGUAUCACACUACUAUACCUUUCUGCAGCUAUAAGGCUGGUUAUGGAGAGUAGUGUAAGAGAAAUGCACUGGGACUUGCUCAGCUUUUUUUGUGAGCUUGCUAGGAUCCAUGGAUUUUCUGAGUCAGAGGUGAUAUGUUUGUGCUUAGCAGUCUUUGAUAGUUACUAUAAUACAUUUGUUUCCUUAGUCUCAGAGAGCCUGUGAGAGCCCUUGUGAGUUCUGAUAUAACAGAGAAGAAAAUGCAGAUCCUGGUUAAAAGUUAUUGAUUGCUUAGAGGGCCUGGAAUGUCACUGCUUAUUUCCAUAUGAAUAAGUUGUUAAGUGUCUAUCCAUAUGUAUUAAUCAUUGAUGGAAUGAAACAAAAUAUUUAAAAUAUGUAUUUUUAGACUCAGCUAAAUUAGCAAUGUUCAUAACAUAUGUAUGCAUUCUUGAGAAGCUUGUUCUAUUGGAUUUAAAUUAUUAAUAUUUGCAACAAUAUUAUUAGUGUUUACUCUUGCAUUGUAUUGGAUUUAUAUGCUAAUAAUGCUACUUUUUCAUGUACUUGAAGCAUCUGAAUUGCUGUCAGCUCUUUUUCUGAGGGUAGUCUCUUCCUGACCUUUCUGGAGGAGCAUAACAGCUCAAGGGGAAAUAAAGACCCUGCCUAAAGCCAGCAGACAGGAGUUUACAGGCAAAAACUGUUCCUAAGCUUUUUUUUCCUGUGACUGGAGAAUGAAUUUGUUGGCUCUGUAUGCUUUGUAACAUGUGUGAGUGACAGAAUGUGGCUUAGAUUUAGACAGUGUUAAAUCCUGCUGUUCAGUGACCUGUUCAGGUAAUACAGUAAAGCAAUGACACAAGGCCAUGCCAGUAUGACAAUCUUGUUCCUGCCUUAGUUUCCUUCCCAAUAGAAGAGGAAAAAAAUUGCUACUCGUUAAAGUAGCAUAUGAAGAUCUAUUUAUACUUCUUGUUUUUCCUGCUACCAGCCUGUCCCUACUCUUUUGUAUUCCUCUCUUUGGUUUUUAAUUCUGUCUCACUUCAAGCUAACCUAGGUUGUCAUGUUAACUUGACUCAAAACAACAUAAAGCAGCUGUAAUUGAAGUGUAUUUUAUAGAGGAAACAAAUACUGUUAGAUCAACUGAAGUAGCAUGUAGGCAAUUAGGAGUUUUUUUCACUGAUCCCAUGAAUUGGUUUAAUAAAAAGCAAUGUACCACUACAUUAAGCUUUCCCUUCCUGUAUCCUUAAGCCAUGAUAGCUCUUCUCUUGUGCAUAGCUAACAUGUAGUUUUAUGUACUAUUUUUCCAAGCAGCCCUGAAUGUGUUUGCUGUGUGAAAUGUCCUUGUUGGUCUGUAUUUGUGUGCAUGGGAACUUGUAAGGUGCUCUCUUUUCCACUGCAGAGAUCUUAAAUUUAGCUCUAGUUCUUCUGGCAGUGUAGACUAGACCAGGCUGGUAUUAAGCAGUAUUGAAGAGAGCUGAAUUAUUCAGGAUGGAUGAUGAGUUCUGUUUUCUUUCUCAAUAGAAUUAUGAGUAAAACAACGCAACCCCUAUUUUUCUGGGUCUUAUCAGCUAUGUGUUUUGUUGAUCUUGUGUUGGAUGUUGUAAGAAGUUGAGGGAGUUUUCCCCUGUCACAAUAUGACUUUCAGACUGUUCCAAAACGUGCUUGAUCUUACCUUCAUUGACUUCCUUUUCUAUCGUAACAGUUGAACAAGGAUUUCUUCAGGAGCAAUAAUCAAAUCAGUUUUUAAUGAGCUAUUUAAUUAAAGGCUAAUUGAGGUGAAUUCAUUAAAGAUUUCCAAAUUAUGCUUAUCAGGGUAGCUAUUUUUUAAGAUAAGUUUUAAAUAUUUAUUUUGUACUGUGUUGUUUGAUCAUAAAAGCACACAGGAAAUUAUUUUAAAAUGCCUAAUUAAAAAUGUCUAAUACUGUGCAUUGUUUUUUUUUUUCCUGAUACCCCAUCAGGGCAGUCAUCAUGUCUGAGUUUAAUACAUCACUAAUGUUGAGCUAAUAUAAGAAGCAAAAAAAAGCUAUUAGAUGGCAUUCUGGAGUCUAAGAUGCUGAAGAAUUGAAGAGUCUGUUGGGAACCAAUGGAUGUAUUGUAUUGGUUUUUUGUUUUCUUUUACUUUCAGCCUUAUUUUUGGGUUACAUGUUGACUAUAUUUCAUGUGUCUUUUCCUAACUUUGCUGAGUAUUCUCAGCAGCAGGCAAACUGCAGGGAAUAUCACUACAUGAGGGCAGUAUAAAUCUUUUCUUUGUUAGAUCAGUCAGUCACUUAAUGAAUGAUUACAUUAAUUAAUCAAUCUGGUAGAUUUCUCUUUCUGGGAGUACUUCUUAUCAUCUUGUAUCAAAGCGACUUUGGAAAAUAAGCACUCUAGCUUACUUUAAUCUUUUUUGUCAUUGACAGAAACACCGAAGUAGUUGACCAGAAAUGUGGGGAGAGAGGAAGUGAAAAUAGAACAGGAAAUCUGAGGCAGACAAUUCCCAGAAUUAAUCUGCAUUUUCUAGAGCUCCCAAGAUCUGUUAUCAAUAAAUGGGUCAUCAGAAUAAAAACCUCUCAAGAAAAGUGCUACAGGGACCCAGAACAUCUUAAAGCAAACACUGCUUCUUUUUUUUUCUCCUAUCACAAUUCUUUUCUAUUUUCCAUUCAUUCAAAUGGGAGAAGUUGUCAGCCCAGUCAACUUUUCCUGGUAGAGGUACCUGUGAUUUAAUAGUGCCUCAUUAGAUGCAUGAUAUUUCCUGCAGCUGAUGUUUAGGGAGGAGAUUAUCAGCAUAGCAGUGGCAGCAGGAGCUGAAACGAAGUGAAAUACUGUUGGUUAUAGAUCCAUCAGUUUCAUUCUGCACCAUAUUAGUUUUGAGACUGAUAGUUCUGCCAUCUAGGCUUGUGGUCUGUAACUGUAGCAAAUUACUUUGUGGUCUUGUACUGUUAGUUGGGUUUUGUUGUAUUGGUGCAGAGACAGUUCCUUCCUGCAGUCCUGAUUGGAACAGACGCAGUUCCACUGCAAGUUGGGAGAAUCUUUCUGGGAGACCUAUCUCCAUCAAAUUUAAUGUGGUAAGACUGAGCAGUGUAUUUUGGCUUAACAGAGGAUGAAAUCAUAGUAUUUGGAAGUUGAGUAUUUGUUUUUCUCAAAUAUCGUCUUAUUUCUACAAAUGAAGGAAUUUUCAGUUUUGAUAUACAAACUGAAAAAUUGGCAAAAAUGUAGUUUUUGUAUACACUUGUAAAAUGACCGUAGUGCUUUACCUCGCCUUUGCAACCCCUUUUCUGUUUUUACAUGGUGUGUCAUUGAGACUACACAAGAUUUGAAUUAUAUUUAAGAUACUUAAGAUAAAGAUAGUUGAAAAAAGGAACAUUUUUAAAAAUGUUAGGUGAAAUCUCAAGCUCCUUGUAAAUUUGAAGUCAUCCUAAAUCUUCUGAAGGAGCUUUCAUGUCCUUCAUAGUAGGUUGGUAAUGUUGUAUCCUUUGGAAAAGUGACAACUCUGAGUGAAAAUCAUACAUUCUGUGCAUCUAUGGCAAUCUAAGUUCUGGAUUCCCAGAAAUUGAUCAUAUCACUGUCGUGCUUGCCUACUUUGCCUAUCCAGCUUUUUCUAAGAUAAGAGACCAGAGGGCCUGCCAUGUGGUUAUGGGAUUUCUUAAAGAGAGUGUAAGAGCUGCAUCAGUGGGGUAACCCUUGUGCGGCACUGCAUCCUGUCGUGGGGUCGGCUGCAGCAGAUGGCAAUUUGUGAUAUGUCUGUAGAUGUAUCUGCAGAUUGGGCCUUUUCCAUUACAUCCUCUCAGCUCCAGUAAUGCACGGAGUAGUUGCUUCUUAAGCUUUGAAGAUGGACAGUCGCUCCAGGAAUUUAUCUAAUUCCUUUUGUAAAAAUUUAUACUCUUGGCAGGAGCAUCAUGCUGGGGUAAUGAGCUGUAUGAUUUAAUUAUGAGUUGUGAAGAAAAAGUCCUUCUUGGUUGUUUUGAACUGCUUGCUCAUAAUUUCAUUUUAUACCACUUUUGUCUUGAAUAAUGGCAAAUAAUGAAAAAUCAUUGCCUAUUCACUAUCUCCGUACUACUCAUCGUUUUAUAGACCUCUAUCAUAUUUCCUCUCAGCCACUUGUUUUCCAGAAUUACCGCAUGUAGCUUUCCUUCCAUGAAAGGCAUACCAUUCCUCUGAUCGAACUCGUUGUUCUGAUUUCCCCUUCACUCUGUUCUUCUACGCUGCCUUUGAGUGUUACUGACCUCAGCUAUAUACGCUGUUUGAGAUGUGAGUACACCACGAUGAGAAACAUAGCGAUGCUUUUUGUUUCAUUGCCUAUUCCUUUCCUAAAAUUGAUUACAUGAUGUGUGGCAUUUUGACAGCCAUUAAAACAGUGAGCUUAGGACACUUGACUCUUUUUUCUUACGUGUGUUAGAUCCAUCACUUUUUAUGCAAAAGUAGAAUUUAAUUCUUCUAAAUAUAGUCCUUCAUUGGUCUGAAUUUAUUUACAUUAAUUUGCACUUCCUGUUCUAGUGGAAAGUCGUAUUUCUUCUUGCAUCUCUUCAAUGAAGUGACAGUCCCAACUACAAUAACAAUAAGAAAAAAAUCUAAUACUCGAACAUUUAAAUACUGCUCUAAUUUUAUUACAAAGAACACAAGUGCUACUUUGUUGGCAAGCUCUGUCAUACUACCUACUAUUGUGUAUACUUUUCCUUAUCAUUAUGGAUAUGGUGAGCAAUAAUGAUUGUUCAGUACCUCUCCGAUGAAAGGGCCUUUUUAAGUUGGGUAUAAUGUCUGACAGCAUUUAUUUGAUAUUGCUGAUAGCUUAAAUAAGGAGUUUCCCAUUACAGUCAACAGCUCAACAGUCUUGUAUUAGAAUUCUUAGGUAAGUACCAGCUAGACCUAGUAAUUUCUUACUGCUUGUUUUACCUCCAAUACUGCGUUUUAAUUAUGUUCAAAACUUUAUUGCUACCUAUUGUCAGGCCUCAUUUAAAGGGCAACAUACUUCAAGUGAUUGACUACUAUAGUAACAUAUGUAUGUACGUUUUUAUUAUUUAUUCUUGAAUUUUUAUUUAUACUUUCUCUACUGGUUUUCUAUUUUUAUUAUAGUAAUAUGUGAAUGUAUAUAUUUUUAUUAUAAGCUGUUUGUCAGAGUAAUGCAGGUGUUCUCCUUUGGCUCCAGCCACAAUAUUAAAACCACUUGCAGUGGAAAGAAUUGUGGAAAUAAGUGGGAAGGAAUUGAAAUUUUCAAUUGCUUUUGGAUGCCUGGUGUUGCAGGGUGGCCACAGCAUUGCUGUUGUAUUGAGUUGGCUUUCCUAUAUACUCAUUUUCUUGGUAAAGCAGUCAUGAUGAAUGCAAAUUUUUUGGAGAAGUAUUACCAGCUGUCAGGUAUAUCAUUGCAGUAAAAGGUUGUUGGUUUUUUUUUUCCUGUUUUUGGCCUUUUGGUAAAGUCACUGAAGGAACAUGUAGGAACAGAUUUAAGAACAUCGCAAAUUGAGAGAUUAUUUGGGUAGAAGAGGGAGGUGUUUUGAUCCAAUGUGAGAGGAGGAUCAAUACCAUAAUCUGUGCAUUUCUAAAUAUGUUUCACUACUUAUUAUUGGUAAUGAUUUAUUAUUUGCUUGGAACAGAAUGAGCUCAGAGUCAAUGAUUAUCUAUUACAGUUUCUUGUGACAAAUUAAAACUUCAAGAAAAGAAGUGAUGGGCAGCAGAUUAAAAACUCAGCUUGGGAAUCACUUUAUUUUGAAAAGCGGUGAGCUAGUCAAAAGUAAUUCUCUGUGCCUUACUGCAUGAGUGCAUGAGCUCUCCAACUCUGUUUUAAGGCAAAAUUCAU
RNAcentral lists this long non-coding RNA (7579 nucleotides) under Gallus gallus (chicken). The record is from RNAcentral. Lineage: Eukaryota; Metazoa; Chordata; Aves; Galliformes; Phasianidae.